AUAGAGUCAAGUGAAUAAGUGCAUCAGGCGGAUGCCUUGGCGAUGAUAGGCGACGAAGGACGUGUAAGCCUGCGAAAAGCGCGGGGGAGCUGGCAAUAAAGCUAUGAUUCCGCGAUGUCCGAAUGGGGAAACCCACUGCAUUCUGUGCAGUAUCCUAAGUUGAAUACAUAGGCUUAGAGAAGCGAACCCGGAGAACUGAACCAUCUAAGUACCCGGAGGAAAAGAAAUCAACCGAGAUUCCGCAAGUAGUGGCGAGCGAACGCGGAGGAGCCUGUACGUAAUAACUGUCGAGAUAGAAGAACAAGCUGGGAAGCUUGACCAUAGCGGGUGACAGUCCCGUAUUCGAAAUCUCAACAGCGGUACUAAGCGUACGAAAAGUAGGGCGGGACACGUGAAAUCCUGUCUGAAUAUGGGGGGACCAUCCUCCAAGGCUAAAUACUCAUCAUCGACCGAUAGUGAACCAGUACCGUGAGGGAAAGGCGAAAAGAACCCCGGGAGGGGAGUGAAACAGAACCUGAAACCUGAUGCAUACAAACAGUGGGAGCGCCCUAGUGGUGUGACUGCGUACCUUUUGUAUAAUGGGUCAACGACUUACAUUCAGUAGCGAGCUUAACCGGAUAGGGGAGGCGUAGGGAAACCGAGUCUUAAUAGGGCGAUGAGUUGCUGGGUGUAGACCCGAAACCGAGUGAUCUAUCCAUGGUCAGGUUGAAGGUGCCGUAACAGGUACUGGAGGACCGAACCCACGCAUGUUGCAAAAUGCGGGGAUGAGCUGUGGGUAGGGGUGAAAGGCUAAACAAACUCGGAGAUAGCUGGUUCUCCCCGAAAACUAUUUAGGUAGUGCCUCGAGCAAGACACUGAUGGGGGUAAAGCACUGUUAUGGCUAGGGGGUUAUUGCAACUUACCAACCCAUGGCAAACUCAGAAUACCAUCAAGUGGUUCCUCGGGAGACAGACAGCGGGUGCUAACGUCCGUUGUCAAGAGGGAAACAACCCAGACCGCCGGCUAAGGUCCCAAAUGAUAGAUUAAGUGGUAAACGAAGUGGGAAGGCACAGACAGCCAGGAUGUUGGCUUAGAAGCAGCCAUCAUUUAAAGAAAGCGUAAUAGCUCACUGGUCGAGUCGUCCUGCGCGGAAGAUGUAACGGGGCUCAAAUCUAUAACCGAAGCUGCGGAUGCCGGUUUACCGGCAUGGUAGGGGAGCGUUCUGUAGGCUGAUGAAGGUGCAUUGUAAAGUGUGCUGGAGGUAUCAGAAGUGCGAAUGUUGACAUGAGUAGCGAUAAAGCGGGUGAAAAGCCCGCUCGCCGAAAGCCCAAGGUUUCCUACGCAACGUUCAUCGGCGUAGGGUAAGUCGGCCCCUAAGGCGAGGCAGAAAUGCGUAGUCGAUGGGAAACAGGUUAAUAUUCCUGUACUUGAUUCAAAUGCGAUGUGGGGACGGAGAAGGUUAGGUUGGCAAGCUGUUGGAAUAGCUUGUUUAAGCCGGUAGGUGGAAGACUUAGGCAAAUCCGGGUUUUCUUAACACCGAGAAGUGAUGACGAGUGUCUACGGACACGAAGCAACCGAUACCACGCUUCCAGGAAAAGCCACUAAGCUUCAGUUUGAAUCGAACCGUACCGCAAACCGACACAGGUGGGCAGGAUGAGAAUUCUAAGGCGCUUGAGAGAACUCGGGAGAAGGAACUCGGCAAAUUGAUACCGUAACUUCGGGAGAAGGUAUGCCCUCUAAGGUUAAGGACUUGCUCCGUAAGCCCCGGAGGGUCGCAGAGAAUAGGUGGCUGCGACUGUUUAUUAAAAACACAGCACUCUGCCAACACGAAAGUGGACGUAUAGGGUGUGACGCCUGCCCGGUGCCGGAAGGUUAAUUGAAGAUGUGCAAGCAUCGGAUCGAAGCCCCGGUAAACGGCGGCCGUAACUAUAACGGUCCUAAGGUAGCGAAAUUCCUUGUCGGGUAAGUUCCGACCCGCACGAAUGGCGUAACGAUGGCCACACUGUCUCCUCCCGAGACUCAGCGAAGUUGAAGUGGUUGUGAAGAUGCAAUCUACCCGCUGCUAGACGGAAAGACCCCGUGAACCUUUACUGUAGCUUUGCAUUGGACUUUGAAGUCACUUGUGUAGGAUAGGUGGGAGGCUUGGAAGCAGAGACGCCAGUCUCUGUGGAGUCGUCCUUGAAAUACCACCCUGGUGUCUUUGAGGUUCUAACCCAGACCCGUCAUCCGGGUCGGGGACCGUGCAUGGUAGGCAGUUUGACUGGGGCGGUCUCCUCCCAAAGCGUAACGGAGGAGUUCGAAGGUUACCUAGGUCCGGUCGGAAAUCGGACUGAUAGUGCAAUGGCAAAAGGUAGCUUAACUGCGAGACCGACAAGUCGGGCAGGUGCGAAAGCAGGACAUAGUGAUCCGGUGGUUCUGUAUGGAAGGGCCAUCGCUCAACGGAUAAAAGGUACUCCGGGGAUAACAGGCUGAUUCCGCCCAAGAGUUCAUAUCGACGGCGGAGUUUGGCACCUCGAUGUCGGCUCAUCACAUCCUGGGGCUGUAGUCGGUCCCAAGGGUAUGGCUGUUCGCCAUUUAAAGUGGUACGUGAGCUGGGUUUAAAACGUCGUGAGACAGUUUGGUCCCUAUCUGCAGUGGGCGUUGGAAGUUUGACGGGGGCUGCUCCUAGUACGAGAGGACCGGAGUGGACGAACCUCUGGUGUACCGGUUGUAACGCCAGUUGCAUAGCCGGGUAGCUAAGUUCGGAAGAGAUAAGCGCUGAAAGCAUCUAAGCGCGAAACUCGCCUGAAGAUGAGACUUCCCUUGCGGUUUAACCGCACUAAAGGGUCGUUCGAGACCAGGACGUUGAUAGGUGGGGUGUGGAAGCGCGGUAACGCGUGAAGCUAACCCAUACUAAUUGCCCGUGAGGCUUGACUCU
This 2896-nucleotide ribosomal RNA is filed under the name Neisseria gonorrhoeae. Its description in RNAcentral is "bacterial LSU rRNA". It matches the Rfam family "Bacterial large subunit ribosomal RNA". The record is from RNAcentral. Lineage: Bacteria; Pseudomonadati; Pseudomonadota; Betaproteobacteria; Neisseriales; Neisseriaceae.